CAGUCGCCACGGUAAUACGUAGGUGGCAAGCGUUGUCCGGAAUUAUUGGGCGUAAAGGGCUCGCAGGCGGUUUCUUAAGUCUGAUGUGAAAGCCCCCGGCUCAACCGGGGAGGGUCAUUGGAAACUGGGAAACUUGAGUGCAGAAGAGGAGAGUGGAAUUCCACGUGUAGCGGUGAAAUGCGCAGAGAUGUGGAGGGACACCGGUGGCGAAGGCGACUCUCUGGUCUGUAACUGACGCUGAGGAGCGGAAGCGUGGGGAGCGAACAGGAUUAGAUACCCCAGUAGUCCCUGUCUCUUAUAC
RNAcentral lists this ribosomal RNA (301 nucleotides) under uncultured bacterium. RNAcentral describes it as "partial 16S ribosomal RNA". It matches the Rfam family "Bacterial small subunit ribosomal RNA", at positions 509 to 807 of the family's 1533-position model. The record is from RNAcentral.